GCCUCCAUAGCUCAGGGGUUAGAGCACUAGUCUUGUAAACUAGGGGUCGAGAGUUCGAAUCUCUCUGGAGGCA
RNAcentral lists this transfer RNA (73 nucleotides) under Danaus plexippus (monarch butterfly). RNAcentral's name for it is "misc RNA ENSDPXG00000018582.1". It matches the Rfam family "tRNA". From Rfam's summary of the family: Transfer RNA (tRNA) molecules are approximately 80 nucleotides in length. RNAcentral also lists the same sequence under 2 other names. Lineage: Eukaryota; Metazoa; Arthropoda; Insecta; Lepidoptera; Nymphalidae. The record is from RNAcentral.